Unclassified non-coding RNA from Erinaceus europaeus (western European hedgehog), 310 nucleotides. Its record names the gene 7SK. It matches the Rfam family "7SK RNA". Rfam says of the family: 7SK was discovered as an abundant small nuclear RNA in the mid-70s but a possible function has only recently been suggested. Two independent studies have found that 7SK RNA binds the CDK9/cyclin T complex (known as elongation factor P-TEFb). The record is from Ensembl. NCBI's taxonomy places the organism in Eukaryota, Metazoa, Chordata, Mammalia, Eulipotyphla, Erinaceidae.
GGAUGUGAGGGCAAUCUGGCUGCGACAUUUGUCACCCCAUUGAUUGCCAGAGUUGAUUCGGAUGAUCUGACUGGCUAGGUGGGUGUCCCUUUCCUCCCUCACCACUUCAUGUUUGUCCCUCCGCUCCAUGUUUAUCCCUCCAGAAGCUGCGUGCUCCCUUGAAGAGGACAAACAUAGAGACAGACCAGUCUUCAGUCAAGGGUAUAGGAGUAGCUGCACUCCUAUACCCUUGUUGGAGGUUCUAGCAGGAGCUAGAACUUCCAAACAAGCUCUCAAGACCAGAGCAUUACUAGCCCCCCCUCCUUUCUUU